AUGGCACGAGAUACAAAUGGGCAUGGCACCCAUACACUGUCCACAGCUGGUGGUAGAUUUAUUGGUGAAGCAAACCUCUUGGUUUCGGCCUAUGGAACUGCAAAGGGUGGGCCGCCUAAUGCUCAAGUUGCUGCCUACAAGGUUUGCUGGUCAGGGUGCUAUGACGCUGAUGUAUUGGCUGCCUUUGAUGCUGCCAUACAUGAUGGGGUUGACAUGUUGGGAUUGAGCCCUAUGGGCCCACCAUGGCUGGCGCUUAGCACUUCCGAAGGGAAGGCUAAAGGCCCAGGACCGUGGCCCCUCGAUCACACCAACUGUUUAUUUGUUCCAAUAAAAGAGGCGUCCUCAGGAAUUGAACCUAGGACCCAUAGGGCUCAAUCCCAAUAUGACAUCCUUUCUAUUUCACUUGGAUUCCCUCUUCGUGAUUAUUUCUUAGACGCCAUCUCAAUUGGAUAUUUUCAAGCUGUCAAGAAUGGAAUUGUUGUUGUCUGCUCCGCUGGGAAUAGUGGACCCACGCCUGGGAGUGUUCGCAACUUGGCACCAUGGAUUGUAACUGUUGCAGCUAGUACAAUUGAUUGGGGUUUUCCCUCGUAUGUCAUGCUGGGGCUGAGCUUCUAUACCAAUAGUUUGCCGGCUGAGAAGUUUUAUCCCCUGGUAUAUUCUGUAGAUGUUAGAGCUGAUAAUGCUUCUGAAAGAGAAGCACUAGCUUUUGCUGCAUUUGCUUUCUGUCUGUGUUGUAGACAACUUUGCUCUGUUGGAUCCCUGGACCCAAAGAAGGUUAAAGGGAAGAUUGUAUAUUGUCUGGUUGGUCUUAAUGCAAUUGUACAGAAGAGCUGGGUGGUUGCUCUGACAGGUGGCGUUUGGAUGAUUCUUGCUAACCAUCUGACCACCACUGCGUUGAUUGCUCAGGCCCACUUUGUUCCCACUUCACACGUCUCUGCAGCUGAUGGUCUUGCCAUUUUGUUAUACAUCCAGACUACGAAGUACCCUGUGGCUUAUAUCAGUGGUUCAACAGAAGUGGGUACGGUACCAGCACCAAUCAUGGCUACUUUUUCGUCCCAGGGCCCCAAUCCAAUCACUCCAGAAAUCCUCAAGCCUGACAUCACCGCACCAGAGUGCAAAUUUUAGCUGCUUACACAGAAGCAAAUGCGCCUACAGGUCUUCAAUCAGAUGAUCGCCGUGUUCCCUUCAACAUUGGAUCUGGUACUUCAAUGUCAUGUCAUCAUGUUGCUGGAACUGUAGGCCUUCUCAAAAAGAUUCACCCUCAUUGGAGUCCAUCAGCCAUAAGAUCUGCAAUUGUGACCACCGCAAGAACCAGAAGUAAUGUGAGACAACCUAUGGCGAAUGGUACACUUUCAGAGGCAAACCCCUUCAACUAUGGAGCAGGGCAUCUAUCGCCUAACCGUGCAAUGGACCCUGGCUUGGUCUAUGACUUCACCACUGACUACUUAAACUUUUUGUGCUCUAUUGGCUAUAAUGCAACCCAACUAUCAAGGUAUGUAGACAAGCCAUACAAAUGCCCAUCAAAGCCCACGAGCCCUUUACCCCUCAAUUACUGUCCCAAGUUUCUCAGGCAAGGUAACGGUGACCCAGACCCUGAAGAAUGUUGGAACUCCAGCUACAUACACGGUUCGAACUGAGGUGCCUAGUGGAAUAUCGGUGAAGGUGGAACCUAAGAGACUGAAAUUUGAAAAGAUUAAUGAAGAGAAAACUUUCCAGGUGACACUGGAGGCAAAGAGAGAUGGUGAGGGAGAUGAGUAUGUUAUUGGAAGGCUCAUAUGGUCAGAUGGAGAACACUACGCGCAGAAGCCCUAUAGUGGUCAAUGCAACCACCCUUCAUGUGUAACCAUGCUUUUGAUUGAACUUUAUGUAACAUCAAGUGUAAGGACCAUAAAUAAAUCUAUGUUUACCAUGUGGAAGCAUCGUUACUAAAAAAGACAGACCUUGAACUUCCCUUUGAUCUAACAUCUUCCAUGGAAAACAAUGAACUUAUAAACUUAUGUCUACCAGAAAACUGUAAUACGGGCGAUGCCUGAAU
Vitis vinifera (wine grape) is the source of this 2035-nucleotide RNA transcript. It is a transcript of the gene named subtilisin-like protease SBT5.4, with no coding region annotated. Lineage: Eukaryota; Viridiplantae; Streptophyta; Magnoliopsida; Vitales; Vitaceae. The record is from RefSeq and is a predicted model, not a curated record. The transcript is spliced from 6 exons.